AAUCAACGCUGGCGGCGUGCCUCAGACAUGCAAGUCGAACGAUUAAAGCUCUCUUCGGAGAGUGUAUAGAGUGGCGCACGGGUGAGUAACACGUAAGUAAUCUACCCUCGAGUGGGAAGUAACGUCCGGAACGGACGCUAAUACCGCAUAAUGCAGCGGCACCGCAAGGUGACAGUUGUUAAAGAUUUAUCGCUUGAGGAGGAGCUUGCGGCAGAUUAGCUAGUUGGUAAGGUAAUGGCUUACCAAGGCUACGAUCUGUAACCGGUCUAAGAGGACGGUCGGUCACACUGACACUGAAUAACGGGUCAGACUCCUACGGGAGGCAGCAGUCGGGAA
This 336-nucleotide ribosomal RNA is filed under the name uncultured bacterium. RNAcentral describes it as "bacterial SSU rRNA". It matches the Rfam family "Bacterial small subunit ribosomal RNA", at positions 32 to 361 of the family's 1533-position model. The record is from RNAcentral.